Molecule: unclassified non-coding RNA, 3616 nt
Filed under: Leishmania donovani
Lineage: Eukaryota; Euglenozoa; Kinetoplastea; Trypanosomatida; Trypanosomatidae
Description: gene:unknown
Source: RNAcentral
CCUGCACUGCACGCAGUGGGGUUGCAGUGUGCUGAACGACGCCAGACGGCGUUGACCGGCCCGGCUCCUUUAUGAAUCCUCGAUGCCAGGCUGAAUUUCGCAAGAGACGCAGUCCACCACCACAGGCCGGUAGGGGAUUCGCUCUCCCCGGUUUUUGGCAUUUCGGUGUAGCGAGAGGAAAGAAGCUUGGCUGUCGCGUUUCCGUGCUCGUACACUAGAACAUGCGCGCAGGUGUGGGCCCUCCCCCUGUUCCCAAGGAUGAAGUUGAAGCAGAGGUGCACUGGCUUUGCUGAGGUGACCCUGCUAACCGCAUAAACCCUCACGUACGGCGAUACACCUAAAAGUGACCUCGUCGCACGGGAAGUUCUCUCGAUGAGGUGCCAGGUGACGUCGCUCGCAGUCUUCACGCUGUCGCAGUGGAGGCCAGCUCGCGCCGCCCGAUACGGGAUACGAAACGAUGACCCGACCGGGCCCGGGCCACUCCUGCACGAUUGUCUCAAUGACAAAUGCUUGGUGUGCGCGGGCGGUAACGACACCUCGGCAUCGCACACCGCAGAUGGGGCCACGGGUACGCCACCCUGGCGCUCGACUGCCUCAUUUGUAAAUGGGAUGCCGCCACGACAACGCGGUCCAGUUAGCUGCCCGACAUGGGAGAUAUGGCCCGGCGCCGCCAGUGAUGGCUAGCGCCGAAUCGUACUCCUUCCAGGAAGCAAACUGGGAAUUUUAUUGCAACCCUAUUGCGAAAUCGAUCCGCGAAGAGCGUGCGUGCCACAGCAGCACAGAAACGAAGACGCGCGAGCUUCAGAGCGCCGCGCUGGCCCCGACUGCCACGGCAGCCCGAAAGCGCACCAGGGAGCGGAUGCGAAUCGCCCAUGCAAUCACACACAUCACAGAUACACAGCACACACACACGUAGAACCGCAAAGUAUCCCGCAAGGAUAGCGCCGAAUUCGCGACUACUGCCAACAACAAUCAGGAAGGUGAUCCCUUCUAGUGAAGCUGUUCAACGGCGGCUUUAGACGCCAUAGCUGACGCGAUUGAAGGCAGCUCUUGGGAAAGCACCUGCGCGUCGCUCGAGUACCGCCCUCCCUCGGACAUGCUCAUCAAAAAGCCGGCCCUGAAGAUGGACGCAGUCCUGCAACCCCCUCACCCCCAGCGAUCCUUGAUUAUGGGCGCGCAUCCAUGGCCCCCGCGCACUACACACACCGGCGGUGAGAGAGGGCGUCCGCCAUGUGAGCGCGCAAGAGCAGACCAGCGUAUUGCGUAAGGUGCGCCAGCAGAAGCCGAGCCGGAAUCCGGAAGCCUCUUCCCGCGCCCCUGCUACGUGGAAAAAGGGGGGCGCCUUUCGCCCCUCCUGAAGUUUCCUACGCCCGAUGGUGGACCCGCGCCCCGCCGUCCCGCGGCGCUGGCCAGCGAUCUGCGCAAGCCGCCCGGAAGAAUGGUCUCGCGACGACUGCGCGAGCAUGUGUGGGACAGGCUCCGAGCACAGCCGUCUGGCCUCCGCCCUCGCGGCUCCACUUUGGACUCCCUAGAUUCGCUCCCCCGCGGCGCGGCCCAGCGCCAGCCACACACCAAGGUGGGCACGGCGCUUGCGGACCACGCCCGCGCGUUCGGCCCGGCAGGUCAGGGCGUUGCCGUCACGGCCCUGGGGAAGUUCAAUGUAGGCCCGCGUCUUCCCCGCUGGAUCCUGAAUUUCUCAGACGGUCGUCGUGCCUGCGCUGGCCUCCGCCAGAGGAAAUCCGAGACGGCCAGGCUACCAUGCGGAGCCCCAGGGGGACCAGCCCGAGGACCCCUUCAUCACUGCCGUGGGCCCGCUGAGCCCGGAGCCCAGCAAGACACCCCGGCCUGCACCGCGCCUUCUUUUGCCGGUGACACCACACACCCCGCGCCCCCACCAGACAAGGGGGUCAUGCGGGCCACGCCGCGGCCCGCCCUCUGGAAGGCGCGGCGCUGGACGCUGCAGCGCCCACGGUGCUGGGCGCGCCCUCCACCCUCAAAACGGGACGCGCACCCUUUGGCGCGCGACACCAACACCAGCCGCAACCCCCGCCGCACGCCCGCACUUACAAGGGGAUCGGCGCCCCUGCCUUCUCGGCGUGGGCUUCCCGCCAACGCGCGGCGUUGGCCAACACGUUUCAGAAGCCGUCGAAGUAGCUACCGUUCGGCUUGCGAAGCUCGAGGCGGUGUGCUCGCACGAAUGGCGCCCGUCAAGGGGUCUUCACCGUUCUUUGUGCAUGGUGCGGGUGGACCAAAAGCUGCUCUACGGCGCCGCCGUGCGGCGAGGUGGCGCCGGAAAAGGCGGCAUGACCCUCCUUCGCCCUCGCGCCAAAGCGGCCGCACCCGCCCUCACCCCCGCACACUGACGCGAGCGGGCUACCCUGCGCACUUGGCGCGGGAGGUGUACACACCGGGCCGCGGCGUUGCCACAGGGGUUCGGCAGCCCUCGUGCGGGCAUGCAGGCGCCAGCCCUUUUGGAGCUUCGCACGCACACGGCAUCUUUCGUCGGCAGCGGUCGUGCUGAGCGGGCUGCCCCCGUCGGGCGUCUGAGGCUGGUACCCUGUGCCCCUUUCAGGGCGACAAGCCGUGACCUUUUCGCGCUCAGGCAGAUGCUUGCCCGCGGCCUCUCCCUCAGCACACCCACGCCUGGGAAAGGCGGGCGGAUGUAGGGGAGGGGACAAAAGGCCCCUGCCGCUGCAGACGCAUAGCGGCGUCCCGGCUGUUGCGGCGCGUGCGGGCAGGCCAUCCACACACGCCCCCACCCCCGGCGAUAUCGACGGAAAUGGAAGAUGAUGGGGGCCAUCCCCCGACAACGACGUCGCCCGGAAACAUGCCCUGAAGCGCCGAGAUGCGGGCGCUGCCGUGCGCGGCUGGCGUGGUGCAUCGCACCAAAACAAAGCGCGCGGGCGUGAGAAGCGCACGGCGGACGGACGGAAAAGGCGCGAGCGUCUUUGCGCCAGUCAACCUCAAAGUGCGUGCGUGCGAGGCGUGCGGCGCCCUCUGCGUCCGGCCGGGUGGGCCGAUGUGGCGCAGACGCCGGAAGCAUGACGAGGACACCCCGGGCCGCACCGUCGGGUGCCCCGGCCUCCAGUGCGGGGGGUCCCCGCGCCAUGUUGUGGGAUGCCGCGGCUUGGGGCGGCUCGGGGGGGGUGCUGUGGGCGGGCUCCCUCCCCGCGCAUGCCGGCCACAUGCGCCUUGGCCACCCCUCGCCGACCGCCCGGCGGACGCGAUUGCUUUCGUUCUCGAGCAGAACCCUGAAUGCGACCCGCUGGGAUCAGAGCAUGCGGCGGCGCCAGGUUCGUGCGGCGCCAAUCGCGCAGCGCGUGUCCCGGCAAGGGGCGGGGCAGGACAGGAAAGGCCGGGUGGACGCAUGACCCGCACAGAGGGGCAGACGGCGUGUCCUAGGCGACAAGGCUUUAGCCGCGGCAAAAGAGAGGCAGACGAGCCGUGGUUGUGCAUGCGUAUGCAGGUUGUCUGAGGCGGGGUCCCGAGUAGGCGUGCGGAAAAAAGGUGUGCUCUCUCAAUGCCCGCAUGAGUUGUUUUUUCUUUGUAUUUAGUGGCUGCUGUUGUUUUCCUCCUCUUUCUUGUCGAAAGCAACUCCCUGUGUCCGAGUUGCGAG